GCGGGGGUGCCGGAGCGGCCAAACGGGCUAGCCUUAGGAGCUAGUGGCUUAGUGCCUGCAUAGGUUCAAAUCCUAUCCCCCGCA
RNAcentral lists this transfer RNA (84 nucleotides) under Candidatus Pacearchaeota archaeon. RNAcentral's name for it is "tRNA-Leu". It matches the Rfam family "tRNA". Rfam says of the family: Transfer RNA (tRNA) molecules are approximately 80 nucleotides in length. Their secondary structure includes four short double-helical elements and three loops (D, anti-codon, and T loops). Lineage: Archaea; Nanobdellati. The record is from RNAcentral.